This 383-nucleotide ribosomal RNA is filed under the name uncultured bacterium. RNAcentral's name for it is "bacterial SSU rRNA". It matches the Rfam family "Bacterial small subunit ribosomal RNA", at positions 28 to 412 of the family's 1533-position model. The record is from RNAcentral.
GACGAACGCUGGCGGCGUGCUUAACACAUGCAAGUCGAGCGGUAAGGCCCUUUCGGGGGUACGACGAGCGGCGAACGGGUGAGUAACACGUGGGUGACCUGCCCUCAGCUCUGGGAUAAGCCUGGGAAACCGGGUCUAAUACUGGAUAUGACUCCAUGACGCAUGUUGUGGGGUGGGAAGCCUUGUGCGGCUGAGGAUGGGCCCGCGGCCUAUCAGCUUGUUGGUGGGGUGAGGCCUACCAAGGCGACGACGGGUAGCCGGCCUGAGAGGGCGACCGGCCACACUGGGACUGAGACACGGCCCAGACUCCUACGGGAGGCAGCAGUGGGGAAUCUUGCGCAAUGGGCGAAAGCCUGACGCAGCGACGCCGCGUGAGGGAUGAC